GAGUUCCUACGGGAGGCAGCAGUGGGGGAUAUUGCACAAUGGGGGAAACCCUGAUGCAGCGACGCCGCGUGAGCGAUGAAGUAUUUCGGUAUGUAAAGCCCUGUCAGCAGGGAAGAAAAUGACGGUACCUGACUAAGAAGCCCCGGCUAACUACGUGCCAGCAGCCGCGGUAAUACGUAGGGGGCAAGCGUUAUCCGGAUUUACUGGGUGUAAAGGGAGCGUAGACGGCGGUGCAAGUCUGAAGUGAAAGGCAAGGGCUCAACCUUUGGACUGCUUUGGAAACUGUGCUGCUAGAGGGUCGGAGG
RNAcentral lists this ribosomal RNA (305 nucleotides) under uncultured bacterium. RNAcentral's name for it is "bacterial SSU rRNA". It matches the Rfam family "Bacterial small subunit ribosomal RNA", at positions 333 to 655 of the family's 1533-position model. The record is from RNAcentral.